AUGACUGUAUCGUGAAUGAGGGCUAACUGCCUAAGGCUCAGCCCAGACAAGACUGAGGUAAUGUUGACUGAAUGAGAAACAAUCAGAAGGAACCACAGAGAUUGUAUCUAUUAAGACUAAGUGUUUCAUUAGUAACAUCUAGACAGCAAAAAAUUUGCUCAUGGCUGACUGACUUCCUCCCUUGGUGCUCAUAAGUCAUCCCUGAUUGGUUCGACUGCCUUUCAUCUCCGCUAAGCUCAAAUCAGACAUACUUGCUCCAAGGAUGUGUUCAUUUCCAGCUCUGGGCCUCACACUGCAUUACAGAGGGAAAGAUUCACAGUGUUGGAGCUGCAACAGAUGUAUUGAUAGUGUCGGAUCCAGAAGCAGAAAUGAGGAAUGCCUGGCUGAUCGGUGCUCAAGUUCUUAGAGCAGGAUUCACAAUCAUUAUCCAUUUAUCUCACUCCAUUUUUGUGUCAGUGUAUUUUUAGCUGAGGUUCAGAAAAUAUCUAAGUGAAUCCUUUCUUACUUUUCACAACAUUUUCUGUACUACAGCAACUGACAAUAACAUUAUGGUAACAUGUUAUAGUAAUGUUACAUCCAUUUAGCUGGCUAAUUUUUCCAUAUUUCUCAGUCUCUCUCCUCUCUUUUACCCUAUCAGAAAUCUUCUUAUCUCAAGGGCUUGAACUGUGGGGAAACUCUUUGGGAAGAAUUCGUUCUCCCUUGUUCCGAAAAAUUAAUGUGGUUUCAAAGCUCUCUCAUGCUUCUCUGGCCUUUAAACUCUGGCCUGAGUUCUUUAGCUGCUGUCGUUCAUUCUAGAAGACUUUCCCACAUGCUGUAAUGUCAGGGGACUUCCUGACCAUGAUCAGCAGUUUCUGUGUGUGUACAUGUGGGAGUGAAGGGGCAGAGGUGCCACAGGAGGCCAGUACAGAACAAUUGUUGAAGGGAUAGAGCAGCAGAUACUGGAAGGCCUAGAUCAUAAUUGGGCUCAGCGGUUGCAGAGUGCCUGAAUCCCCAUGGCUUGUCUCCUGCACAGUUAAAGGCCAGACAAGCCUUUAACUUUUUUUAAAUAUGGCUUCUCAAAUUGCAGUUCCUGCUUUGCAUUUUCAAGGAUUCAUAUGUACAGUAAUUCAGAGUCAUUUGUGCAAACUGGGUGUGUCUACACGUGCAUUUAAGCGUGCCUAAAUUUAAUGUACAUUAGCUUAAUGCGCAGUAAGCAGGUUUAGGCAGGUAUUAAACACAUGCAGGCAUUAAAGCACAUUAACUCUGUGUGUGUCGAUAGACUUGGGACUAAAGUUAGUCCCAAGUCCAUCCAUACACACAGCAAUAAUGCACUUUAAUGUAUCUACAUGUUUGUUAAUGUGGUUUAACUAUUUGCGCCUAAAUUUGACUCCUGCAUUUGAAGGAGUCAAAUUUAGGCAAAAAUAGCCUAAAUUCACCAUUUUAAAAACACAGUAAGACAUGCAUGUGUAUAUGUGCGCCCAAAUGCACCUUAAAUAUAAGUUAAUGUGCCUUCAAGCAUCUUAUGUAGACACACCCACUAUAUCAUAUUCACAUACCUUUUUAUUCACUAUAUUUGCUUAGUAAGUGGAAAGUAUCCUGAAAGUCUGUAAAAGCAAAAACAUGUGGUUGGUUGGAUAUUUCUUACCUGUAAGUCUCACUGGCUUUGUACACUAACCUAGAAAUACAUUUUUCUCCAGUUUCUGGCAGGGAUGUAUAUUGGAGGUACCAAGGAACCAAAAUUUAAAAUUUUGAUCCAGACUUUUGCUUAAUUUAAGACUGUUUGGAUCUUUCCUUUGAUAUGGUUUUUAAUGCAACUUUCUAAGUUGAUAGAAAGAAAACACAGAAUCUAACACUGUCAUCCUUCCUACAUCAAUAUUUACAUAGAGGGUAGACACAAGUCUCUUCCACUCCACUGUUCAUUGGUAGUCUAGUUCCCUUUCUGAAACCAGUAGGUGUUUAUGAGGCUAGGCAGUUAGCCUGACAUUCAUCCUCCCCUUUUCUUCGUGUUAUUUAGUAUUGGGACCACCAGCUAUAACAGGCAGGAUUCUCAGUGUUUGUCUACACUGAGGCCAUAGAAAACUCAGUCUUGUUGCCCAGCAAUAAAUGCUGCCUGCCCAUCCCUAUUCUGUAUACACCAAUCCUGGAAAUAAGGUGGGAGAAGUAAAAUAGGGGCAUCCCUGCCACUUUACUCAAGGCUUGGAUUUCCAAAGUGUGCUCAAGCAUGGUAGGACAUCCUUAACACCUCAUUUCCAGGGUUGCUAUAUGUGGUGUGGGAGCAGGUAGGCAGGGUUUAUUGCCUCACUGGUGGGACUGCCACUAGUUCAGAUGUAUGUUAUG
Alligator mississippiensis (American alligator) is the source of this 2316-nucleotide long non-coding RNA. RefSeq lists it as uncharacterized. NCBI's taxonomy places the organism in Eukaryota, Metazoa, Chordata, Crocodylia, Alligatoridae. The transcript has 3 exons. The record is from RefSeq and is a predicted model, not a curated record.